This 336-nucleotide unclassified non-coding RNA is filed under the name soil metagenome. RNAcentral describes it as "partial contains 5.8S ribosomal RNA, internal transcribed spacer 2, and large subunit ribosomal RNA". The stretch from base 1 to 120 matches the Rfam family "5.8S ribosomal RNA", at positions 35 to 154 of the family's 154-position model. The record is from RNAcentral.
GAUGAAGAACGUAGCGAAAUGCGAUAAGUAAUGUGAAUUGCAGAAUUCAGUGAAUCAUCGAAUCUUUGAACGCACAUUGCGCCCGCCAGUAUUCUGGCGGGCAUGCCUGUUCGAGCGUCAUUUCAACCAUCAAGCCCCCGGCUUGUGUUGGGGGCCUGCGGCUGCCGCAGGCCCUGAAAACCAGUGGCGGGCUCGCUGUCACACCGAGCGUAGUAGAUUUUCAUCUCGCUCAGGGCGUGCUGCGGGUUCCGGCCGUAAAAAGCCUUAUUUACCCAAGGUUGACCUCGGAUCAGGUAGGAAGACCCGCUGAACUUAAGCAUAUCAAUAAGCGGAGGA